Molecule: long non-coding RNA, 957 nt
Filed under: Carassius auratus (goldfish)
Lineage: Eukaryota; Metazoa; Chordata; Actinopteri; Cypriniformes; Cyprinidae
Description: lncRNA (ENSCARG00000050886.1)
Source: RNAcentral
AUGUCAGGGGAGGAGAUAUCCGAGAGGAAGCUCUUUAAGGAGAAGAUGGAGUUCCUCCCGCCACCACCUCCUAUGGCUGUCAAGGGAGCUGUGCCCAACAUGCUCUCCUUCUUCACCACCCCUUGCCUUCUUCUGGCGCCCGGUCGGCGUGAUGAAGGCAUUGAUCCGCUACCCAACACCAACUGCCCCGCACCGCCAGAAUACUACCUGGAGAAGAGAGGGUACGGCAGCUACGCCAGGCAAGUGUACGGCUUGAACUUCCUUUACACCCUGCUGACCGAAAGGUUGAUGUGCAAACACUGUCUCAAGCUGAGGGAGGAGCCGAGCCAGGCGCACGCGAACGACGACGAGGAGGACGGUGCCCACCGUUCCCAGCAGCAGUACACCUGGCUGCCGUACAGUCCGAAAAUUCUAACAAACCUCGCCCCGGCAGUCAGAAUCAUGUUCCCGGCCAUAAUCUGCGGCAAGCGUGCUGUGGACAGGAGUGUGGUCAGCCUGAUGAGCGACCGACUCAACGCUGUCUCGAUGAGCAAGGUGCAGAGGCUGCUGCAGCAGGGCCACGUUGAGUGGUACGUGGAGCGUCGGGACCUGUACCAGACUCUCCUGUACGAUGCCCACACGUCGGCGGCUGGAUCGUCUUCAUCUCAGCAAGGCAUCCUGUCGUUUGCCAGAGCAGCCGGCACUUACACCCCUCCCAUCGCCCCGCCUCCCCUUCCGUUCUUGUGCAUCGACGGCACGAGGAAGAUUCUCAAGAAGAUCUACGGCGACGGCCAGGGCACCAUGCAGUACGUCACCAGCGUGCUGAAUGAGUGGGGUCAGUUCUUGACCACAGUGGUGGUGGUGUUCGAGUCCGAGGGCUGCUACGCACGCAUGGCCAGAGGUCUGGUCACCCGCUUUCGCCAUGCCAACGCUCCUGCUCCAAAGGUGGUGUACGCGGACAACAACUGCUGUCGGUGA